GCCUUGGCUCAGUUCAACUCAACUCAACUUCAGAUGCUGAACUGCAAACAACAGAGAAUCAGAUAUUGGCAAAAGAGAUGCUCUAGAAAGAACAACGACAAAAAAAUCCUGAUGGAUUCCUUAAUCAUAAAGAUCUCAAAUAGUGACUCUGCCUUAGGACUCUGACGCUUAGAGCUGGAUUGAUUAAA
This is a long non-coding RNA of Tupaia belangeri chinensis (Chinese tree shrew), 188 nucleotides long. RefSeq lists it as uncharacterized. Lineage: Eukaryota; Metazoa; Chordata; Mammalia; Scandentia; Tupaiidae. The record is from RefSeq and is a predicted model, not a curated record. The transcript is spliced from 3 exons.